RNAcentral lists this ribosomal RNA (468 nucleotides) under uncultured bacterium. Its description in RNAcentral is "partial 16S ribosomal RNA". It matches the Rfam family "Bacterial small subunit ribosomal RNA", at positions 28 to 507 of the family's 1533-position model. The record is from RNAcentral.
GACGAACGCUGGCGGCGUGCUUAACACAUGCAAGUCGAACGGAAAGGCCCUGCUUUUGUGGGGUGCUCGAGUGGCGAACGGGUGAGUAACACGUGAGUAACCUGCCCUUGACUUUGGGAUAACUUCAGGAAACUGGGGCUAAUACCGGAUAGGAGCUCCUGCUGCAUGGUGGGGGUUGGAAAGUUUCGGCGGUUGGGGAUGGACUCGCGGCUUAUCAGCUUGUUGGUGGGGUAGUGGCUUACCAAGGCUUUGACGGGUAGCCGGCCUGAGAGGGUGACCGGCCACAUUGGGACUGAGAGACGGCCCAGACUCCUACGGGAGGCAGCAGUGGGGAAUAUUGCACAAUGGGCGGAAGCCUGAUGCAGCAACGCCGCGUGCGGGAUGACGGCCUUCGGGGUGUAAACCGCUUUCGCCUGUGACGAAGCGUGAGUGACGGUAAUGAGUAAAGAAGCACCGGCUAACUACGUG